Long non-coding RNA from Anthonomus grandis grandis, 374 nucleotides. RefSeq lists it as uncharacterized. Lineage: Eukaryota; Metazoa; Arthropoda; Insecta; Coleoptera; Curculionidae. The record is from RefSeq and is a predicted model, not a curated record. The transcript has 2 exons.
GUUUGCCCACAAUAACACCUACAAUUUAACACAUGUUAAAAAUAAUUCUACGCUCUUAUUAUAAAUGUGUUUUAAUUAUAACUUAAGAAACCUAGACUUAGACUAUGGCUAGCUUCAAUAUUAUUGGAAGAACAUUCCCCAAGGAGUUCACCUAAAACAGAAUCGCUUCUCUUCCUUUGCUCACACACCAUAAACACAAUACAAAAAUAAGGCUUACAGCCAUGCUACUGGUGAUCAUCCAGGCCCCUUGUGUGGAUACCCUAAAGGACUAUAUAAUGUUACCUGCACCAGCUACACAUUAAGUACAUGUUUAACAAUCCUUCACUAAAUAGUACAAUGAAUAUGUACAGUAUGUAAUAAAUACUUUGCUAGAA